GAUGAAGAACGCAGUGAAAUGCGAUAAGUAAUGUGAAUUGCAGAAUUCAGUGAAUCAUCGAAUCUUUGAACGCACAUUGCGCCCGCCAGCACUCUGGCGGGCAUGCCUGUUCGAGCGUCAUUUCGACCAUCAGGCCCUCCGGGCUUGUGUUGGGGCUCCCUGCGGCUGUCCGCAGGCCCUGAAAACCAGUGGCGGGCUUGCAAAGUCACACCGAGCGCAGUAGAUUUUUUUCAUCUCGCUCAGGGCGUGCGUGCGGGCGCCGGCCGUAAAAGACGAGAGCGCGGCCUCGGCCGCCCACAAAUACCACAAGGUUGACCUCGGAUCAGGUAGGAAUACCCGCUGAACUUAAGCAUAUCAAUAAGCGGAGGA
RNAcentral lists this unclassified non-coding RNA (369 nucleotides) under soil metagenome. RNAcentral describes it as "partial contains 5.8S ribosomal RNA, internal transcribed spacer 2, and large subunit ribosomal RNA". The stretch from base 1 to 120 matches the Rfam family "5.8S ribosomal RNA", at positions 35 to 154 of the family's 154-position model. The record is from RNAcentral.